Molecule: ribosomal RNA, 253 nt
Filed under: uncultured bacterium
Lineage: Bacteria
Description: partial 16S ribosomal RNA
Rfam family: Bacterial small subunit ribosomal RNA
Source: RNAcentral
UACGUAGGGCGCAAGCGUUGUCCGGAAUUAUUGGGCGUAAAGAGCUCGUAGGCGGCCUGUUGCGUCCGCUGUGAAAUCCUGGGGCUCAACCCCGGGCGUGCAGUGGAUACGGGCUGGCUGGAGGCAGGCAGGGGAGAACGGAAUUCCUGGUGUAGCGGUGAAAUGCGCAGAUAUCAGGAGGAACACCGGUGGCGAAGGCGGUUCUCUGGGCCUGUACUGACGCUGAGGAGCGAAAGCGUGGGGAGCGAACAGG